RNAcentral lists this long non-coding RNA (482 nucleotides) under Helianthus annuus (common sunflower). Its description in RNAcentral is "hypothetical non coding rna". Lineage: Eukaryota; Viridiplantae; Streptophyta; Magnoliopsida; Asterales; Asteraceae. The record is from RNAcentral.
UAAAAUUGAAUGUUUACUCAGGUUUGUUCUACAAGUCCACCGGCGUGAACCGCCAUAGACCCCACAAGUUUGCCGUUGCGGGUGGGCGUAAACCCUUCUCUCCACUCUCUCUCUAGCAUUACUCUCUCUCUCAUGUAUGUGUGUGUGAAUGAGUACGAGUUGAUCGUUCAUAGAAAUUCGGUGAACGUUGGUUGUGGUGGCUGCGGCUCAGGUGUGGUUGUAAAGGUGUUGUAACGACGGCAAUGGUAAUGUGGUUUGGGGAGAAAGAAAGAGUAGAUGGAGGAAGUUAAGAUUUGACUGAAACAUUUUAUCUUCUUUUUUUUGGGGUAUGCAGAAAUGUAUAAACUGUCUUUCUUCAAAAUAAUAAUUAUUUCUUUUAAUCUUAUCUUCAAACUACAAAGCAUCGAUACUUAGGUGAAGACUUUGUUUUGGUGGAAUAAAUCGUUGUGUUUGGUUGUUAAAAAAUCAAUACGAUAUUUAAU